AGCGAACGCUGGCGGCAGGCCUAACACAUGCAAGUCGAACGCCCAGCAAUGGGAGUGGCAGACGGGAUAGUAACACGUGGGAACGCGCCCUUCGGUUCGGAAUAACUCAGGGAAACUUGAGCUAAUACCGGAUACGCCUUACGGGAAGAUUAUUGCCGAAGGAACGGCCCGCGUCGGAUUAGCUAGUUGGUGAGGUAAUGGCUCACCAAGGCGACGAUCCGUAGCUGGUCUGAGAGGAUGACCAGCAUCACUGGGACUGAGACACGGCCCAGACUCCUACGGGAGGCAGCAGUGGGGAAGUAUUGGACAAUGGGCGGAAAGCCUGAUCCAGCAAUGCCGCGUGAGUGAUGAAGGCCUUAGGGUUGUAAAGCUCUUUUACCUAGGGAUGAUAAUGACAGUACCUGGAGAAUAAGCUCCGCUAACUCCGUGCCA
Molecule: ribosomal RNA, 432 nt
Filed under: uncultured bacterium
Lineage: Bacteria
Description: bacterial SSU rRNA
Rfam family: Bacterial small subunit ribosomal RNA
Source: RNAcentral